CGCCUUCAAUUCUUAACCCCCAGCGCCUAUAUUAGCAACGCUCGCCGGGUUCGCCCGGAAGACUAUGGCGAUAAACGACUGUGUAAUAAGCAGCCCGGACCCGGGGGCAGUACCCGGCGCCUCCACCAUAAGCCCAUUCUUGGAUGGGUUUUUGUGGGGGCGAAACAGGAUCGACGGAUGUGUAAAGGCAGUUCUUUUGCCCGGUAUGGUUCCGCCGUCAUCGGACUAUUGUUUAGGUGCCAACGAUAAUGAAAUGGCCCUCGCUGCCUAACUUCGGUUAGCCAAGCGCGGUUUUGGUGGAUGUACCGGGCAACAGAAACAUCCGCCA
This 328-nucleotide transfer-messenger RNA is filed under the name Alphaproteobacteria bacterium. It matches the Rfam family "Alphaproteobacteria transfer-messenger RNA". Rfam says of the family: Bacterial tmRNA, also known as 10Sa RNA or SsrA, is named for its dual tRNA and mRNA-like properties. Lineage: Bacteria; Pseudomonadati; Pseudomonadota; Alphaproteobacteria. The record is from RNAcentral.